UAUUGGACAAGUUUUCUGCCUUACGAUUUGAAGAUGGAAACUCGGAAUCCAUGUCAACAGCAGUUCUACCUUCCUUUCCAACUGCAUCUAUUGACAUCGAUCUUAAUGGAACUAUGUAAGAAUCACCAUCCAAAUUAUUUGAAGAAUUUUUAUCAUAGCUCGUUUUUGUAAUAUCAAAGCCACUUACAGCUAAUGGAUCCAAGUGGGCAUUCGAGAGAGUUUGACCCUUUUGUCCGUAAACUAUAAAAUCAUCACCACCGGACCUCCUGUAGCCGUUUCUUCCUCCAUCAAGUUCUGUAGCCUGCACAUUCAAAUGACCAUCCCCAGAUAGGCUAUCUCUUCGAGAAG
RNAcentral lists this unclassified non-coding RNA (348 nucleotides) under Hevea brasiliensis (rubber tree). The record is from RNAcentral. Lineage: Eukaryota; Viridiplantae; Streptophyta; Magnoliopsida; Malpighiales; Euphorbiaceae.